RNAcentral lists this ribosomal RNA (204 nucleotides) under uncultured bacterium. RNAcentral describes it as "partial 16S ribosomal RNA". It matches the Rfam family "Bacterial small subunit ribosomal RNA", at positions 568 to 773 of the family's 1533-position model. The record is from RNAcentral.
UGCGUAGGCGGGUCUUUAAGUCAGGGGUGAAAUCCUGGAGCUCAACUCCAGAACUGCCUUUGAUACUGAAGAUCUUGAGUUCGGGAGAGGUGAGUGGAACUGCGAGUGUAGAGGUGAAAUUCGUAGAUAUUCGCAAGAACACCAGUGGCGAAGGCGGCUCACUGGCCCGAUACUGACGCUGAGGACGAAAGCUGGGGAGCAAAC